Non-coding RNA from Neopestalotiopsis sp. 37M, 88 nucleotides. The record is from the annotation of a GenBank genome assembly. Lineage: Eukaryota; Fungi; Ascomycota; Sordariomycetes; Amphisphaeriales; Sporocadaceae.
GGGGGUGUGGUCUAGGGGUAUGACAUUCCCUUCGCAUUGUUUCAUUCAUGCCUGGGAAAGGCCCGGGGUUCAAUUCCCCGCUCCUCCA